GACGAACGCUGGCGGCGUGCUUAAUACAUGCAAGUCAACUGAACUGUUUGUAGCAAUACGGACAGGGAGGUGGCGCACGGGUGAGUAACACGUAGGUAAUCUGCCUUUAGGUCUGACAUAACCCCGGGAAACCGGAGCUAAUAUCAGAUGAUGCAGCGGCUCGACAUCGAGACAGUUGUUAAACCUUCGGGGCCUAAAGAUGAGCCUGCGUCUGAUUAGCUAGUUGGUGAGGUAACGGCUCACCAAGGCGACGAUCAGUAGCUGGUCUGAGAGGAUGAUCAGCCACACUGGAACUGAGACACGGUCCAGACUCCUACGGGAGGCAGCAGUAAGGAAUAUUGCUCAAUGGCCGAAAGGCUGAAGCAGCAACGCCGCGUGA
This 379-nucleotide ribosomal RNA is filed under the name uncultured bacterium. Its description in RNAcentral is "bacterial SSU rRNA". It matches the Rfam family "Bacterial small subunit ribosomal RNA", at positions 28 to 404 of the family's 1533-position model. The record is from RNAcentral.